This 20-nucleotide microRNA is filed under the name Macaca mulatta (Rhesus monkey). RNAcentral's name for it is "mml-miR-571". Its record names the gene mml-miR-571. Lineage: Eukaryota; Metazoa; Chordata; Mammalia; Primates; Cercopithecidae. The record is from miRBase by way of RNAcentral.
GAGUUGGCCACCUGGGUGAG